Molecule: ribosomal RNA, 439 nt
Filed under: uncultured bacterium
Lineage: Bacteria
Description: partial 16S ribosomal RNA
Rfam family: Bacterial small subunit ribosomal RNA
Source: RNAcentral
CUACGGGUCGCUGCAGUGGGGAAUAUUGCACAAUGGGGGAAACCCUGAUGCAGCAACGCCGCGUGGAGGAUGACACUUUUCGGAGCGUAAACUCCUUUUAUAUACCAAGAUAAUGACGGUAGUAUAUGAAUAAGCACCGGCUAACUCCGUGCCAGCAGCCGCGGUAAUACGGGGGGUGCAAGCGUUACUCGGAAUCACUGGGCGUAAAGGAUGCGUAGGCGGCCUAGCAAGUCAGGUGUGAAAUCCUAUGGCUUAACCAUAGAACUGCACUUGAAACUGCUAGACUAGAGUUCAGAAGGGGCAGGUGGAAUUAGUGGUGUAGGGGUAAAAUCCGUAGAGAUCAGAAGGAAUACCGAUUGCGAAGGCGAUCUACUAGAACAUUAUUGACGCUGAGACGCGAAAGCGUGGGGAGCAAACAGGAUUAGAUACCCGGGUAGUC